CUCUGUUAUUGUCAAGAGUGCGAUUUUUAAGUGAUAAAAAAAUGUUAUUUGAUUCUUUAAAUUAUCAUCCCUUGCCUGAACCUUUGGAGGCAACAUCUGAUGGACGAGCGGGAUUCGUGAAUCCAAAGAAUUUGGAUCAUUUUAAAUAUCGGGACAAGAAAAAAGGCCUAUUGAAGCAGGAUGACCCCGCAAAUAAUAAAUUUGGAACGUUUAUUUUCAAAAACCAAAUUAAUCCUGCGUGUAAACAAGCAAUAGACAAGUUAAUACGAAUUUAUAGUCGAAAAUUUACAUAUUAAUAAGAAAAAAGGACAUUGAGGCAAUUUAAUUAAGCAAUAGAUAAGAUUCGGCCUUUUUACGAGAUUUCGUGAGAUCGCUUUAACAGUGAGCGAUUGGUUCAAGAUCUGGAAGAGUAUGAAUUUAAUGAUGAUAUUAUCGGUGGUCCAAGGAACAUCGAAAUAAAUGAAGGCUUCAGCAAGAACAAAGGAUGCAUAGAAAAUUCUUAACAUCAUUGGUUAUAAUGUUGAGUGUGCUGAUAAUAAGAGAAAAACAUUAAAUAAAGCCGGAUCUUUUCUCAAGGCCGUAUGGAAGCCAGUCAAGAGAUCAGCACAGAAGUUAUGGAGAAGCGUGAAAAAUAGAGAGACUGAAUACAUUCAGUUUCAUUAAUGAUCUCUUUCUAUACAUCAUUGAGUCAAGUGUAUAUCUACUUGAUUUAAUCCGAGUACGUCUCGGGUAAGAGUUUAAUUAGAAUAUUUUUGUAUUUUACCUUAACACUUACAAGAUUAUCUACUCUACACUUAUAAAUUCAACCCCAUUUUAAUCCCUGAUAGAAAUGGUGUUUUUGCCAUGGUCACAGGAGA
Centruroides sculpturatus (bark scorpion) is the source of this 857-nucleotide long non-coding RNA. RefSeq lists it as uncharacterized. The record is from RefSeq and is a predicted model, not a curated record. The transcript is spliced from 4 exons. Lineage: Eukaryota; Metazoa; Arthropoda; Arachnida; Scorpiones; Buthidae.